Helianthus annuus (common sunflower) is the source of this 2260-nucleotide long non-coding RNA. RefSeq lists it as uncharacterized. Lineage: Eukaryota; Viridiplantae; Streptophyta; Magnoliopsida; Asterales; Asteraceae. The record is from RefSeq and is a predicted model, not a curated record. The transcript is spliced from 13 exons.
UUCUUUCGUCAUUAUCAACUGCCUCUUUCUCUCUCUUUCACCAUCUAAAAACCCUAAUCACAUUCUUCUCCUUCAUGCCUGUUGUUCAUCCUCCUCCUUCUGCUUCAACUUCCCAUCUGACGUUCUUUCUAUCAACAAACCCUAAUGAAUAAUAUACCCGAUCAAUCCGUUCUUUAGUUUCUUCAUUCCUUUUUCAAACCCUAAAACUCCAGCCGUACAGAGAUUGAAGAGAUUCACCAGGUGGAGAUGGCAGAGGAAGCGGUAUCUUUUGUGGGUAGUUCCUGAUUGGUGACCCUAAAACAGGUGAUAUCCUGCUUAGAUCAGAAAGUGCAUGUAUUAUUCCGGCCAAAUCACGACGGCUAAGGUAUACCACCCUACCAACCGACGAAGACGUUGAAUGGAAUAGUCAGUUGUGCUUCGGCUAGGGUUCCGCUGCGAACCUGAUGACGAGAUGAUCGGAGGUUGUCGGCUCUGCUGCCUGCACUUCUCUUGGUUAAUUUUUGGUCAGGUUUGCUGUUCGAUUUUGAGGUUCACUUGUCUAAUUUUUAUUUUAUUAUUGGGGUUCCAUCUGAUUUUGAGGUCGAUUGAAUGGUUAUGUUGUAUUGGAUUUGAAGUUUAGGGUUAGUUAUAAAUAUAUUUUUUUCAUUCUUCCAUCUUGAGUUUUUAGGUUAUGGUUUGUUUUCAGCUUUGUGUUGAUAUCUAUCUCAUUACCAAUAUAAUGCGGACUGAAUUUUAAAUUUUGUGAAAUUUUGCAUCUAGGGUUACAGGUUUUCAAAAUUUGUACCCAAAAGCCCUAAAUUGUUACAAUUUUUCAGUUCUCAUAUGGCGUUACUCAUUUCUUAACAAGGUGGCUGCCAACUUAUGGAAGACUUCUUUACGGUAUUAAGAAAGAGUAUGCGUAGGGGCCACAGUUUAUCUGAUAUAGCCUUUUUAAACGGUGACUCAAGGGUACUUGCUUCUGACACAUGUGGGGCAAUAAGUAUGUUGGACAGAAGAUUGAGUGAUCUUCCACGAAGUGUGCUGACAACUAAGAAGAACACCAGCCUUACUAGCAUCCAGUUACUUGGAGAUCAAUAUGUAUGGUGCUAGCAAGAGUGGGUUUAUAAAUAUAUAUAUAUAUAUAUAUAUAUAUAUAUAUAUAUAUAUGGGAUCUACGUGGUGGAGGAUCACCCGCUGCUUCUCAAAGUGACAAGGAGCCGGCAGGUGCACUCUUCCCACUAACAUCAGUUAACUUAGAAUCUAUUCUGAAUGAAAUUGGGCCUCUAAAGGCACAAUCAAACAGUCGACCAAAGUAAAUACAUAAUCUAUCAACAUUAAUCCAUCCUGUCCAUAUCAGCUGGGAUUCCAUCUUGAUGAUGGUUGGUAUGGUGUUUUGGAUAUGCAUAAUUACUGAGUGUUAUCCAUAGCCCUCCCCCUCCUCCGUGGCCAGCUGGGAUUCCAUCUUGAUGAUGGUUGGUAUGGUGUUUUGGAUAUGCAUAAUUACUGAGUGUUAUCCAUAGCCCUCCCCCUCCUCCGUGGCUGUGGUAGGUGCAGUUUAAGGAAGAGUACCAGUUCUGUUUGAUGGAGGAUAAGGCGAGGAACAGAUGUAUUCAAAGUUGAUCGCUCUGGAUACACAUGCGGUUACGGAAUUUUACCUGCAAAUUUUUUCGCUCAACUGUUUAUAUACUUCUUUGAUUCUGGUAUGUUCCCUAUUGAUUCUAGAGUUGCACAAAUUUCUUAUGAUCCUCAUAAACUGUAUAUGUUAUAGGAGCUGAAUUUGUGUAAACAUUAUUUACUGCUUUCUUCAACUAUACACUCACUAAUUGUUAUAAUUUUCAGGUGAAGCUAAAAGGGAUUGUGUUGUAGCACUGUCAGCUUGUCCCCAUGCCAAAGCCAGUACAUGUUCCAGUGCCAGAGUUAGAUGAUGUGGAAGCUGUCAGGCAAAUAUUGGUUCAGUCAACUGAUUUGGGAGCAGUCCAAGGCACUUAUAUACUGCAACUAACUGCCAUAUGGAUAUGAUGGACUUUCUUUAGUCGAAUGCUUCAUAUCUUUACACAAGAAGAAUUCUUGUAUAGUUAUCAAAGGUGCUAGGUGCCCCCAAGGUGUAUAGGCAUCGCCUGGGGCCUAGGCGCAAAGCGCAAAAAAAAGCGAAAAAAAAGCGCACUUAAAUGAAACAAGCCAGAUGCUGAGAUGUAUGCCUCUUUUACACAAUAUUGUAAAAUUACAUUAUUUAAUGUUAUCGUUCAAUCGGUUACUAAUUUUACCUAUCCAUUUUAGUUUA